UACGUAGGGUGCAAGCGUUGUCCGGAAUUAUUGGGCGUAAAGAGCUCGUAGGCGGUCUGUCACGUCGGUUGUGAAAACCCGAGGCUCAACCUCGGGCCUGCAGUCGAUACGGGCAAACUAGAGUACUGCAGGGGAGACUGGAAUUCCUGGUGUAGCGGUGAAAUGCGCAGAUAUCAGGAGGAACACCGGUGGCGAAGGCGGGUCUCUGGGCAGUAACUGACGCUGAGGAGCGAAAGCGUGGGGAGCGAACAGG
RNAcentral lists this ribosomal RNA (253 nucleotides) under uncultured bacterium. Its description in RNAcentral is "partial 16S ribosomal RNA". It matches the Rfam family "Bacterial small subunit ribosomal RNA", at positions 524 to 776 of the family's 1533-position model. The record is from RNAcentral.